Molecule: ribosomal RNA, 678 nt
Filed under: Fusarium verticillioides
Lineage: Eukaryota; Fungi; Ascomycota; Sordariomycetes; Hypocreales; Nectriaceae
Description: eukaryotic LSU rRNA
Rfam family: 5.8S ribosomal RNA (bases 298-451)
Source: RNAcentral
CCGAUUGAAUGGCUCAGUGAGGCGUCCGGACUGGCCCAGAGAGGUGGGCAACUACCACUCAGGGCCGGAAAGCUCUCCAAACUCGGUCAUUUAGAGGAAGUAAAAGUCGUAACAAGGUCUCCGUUGGUGAACCAGCGGAGGGAUCAUUACCGAGUUUACAACUCCCAAACCCCUGUGAACAUACCAAUUGUUGCCUCGGCGGAUCAGCCCGCUCCCGGUAAAACGGGACGGCCCGCCAGAGGACCCCUAAACUCUGUUUCUAUAUGUAACUUCUGAGUAAAACCAUAAAUAAAUCAAAACUUUCAACAACGGAUCUCUUGGUUCUGGCAUCGAUGAAGAACGCAGCAAAAUGCGAUAAGUAAUGUGAAUUGCAGAAUUCAGUGAAUCAUCGAAUCUUUGAACGCACAUUGCGCCCGCCAGUAUUCUGGCGGGCAUGCCUGUUCGAGCGUCAUUUCAACCCUCAAGCCCUCGGGUUUGGUGUUGGGGAUCGGCGAGCCCUUGCGGCAAGCCGGCCCCGAAAUCUAGUGGCGGUCUCGCUGCAGCUUCCAUUGCGUAGUAGUAAAACCCUCGCAACUGGUACGCGGCGCGGCCAAGCCGUUAAACCCCCAACUUCUGAAUGUUGACCUCGGAUCAGGUAGGAAUACCCGCUGAACUUAAGCAUAUCAAUAAGCGGAGGAA